This 82-nucleotide small nucleolar RNA is filed under the name Bactrocera tryoni. RNAcentral also lists the same sequence under 1 other name. Lineage: Eukaryota; Metazoa; Arthropoda; Insecta; Diptera; Tephritidae. The record is from RNAcentral.
ACUCUAUGAUGAAUAAAACUUUCACCAUCUUUCGACUGAGAAUAAACGUUGAUGUUGCAUAAGUUUUUAUCUGAUUAAAAAA